UGCAGUCAGAUGUCGGGAAAAGUACCUUAUUUUGGUGUUAACCGGUUCGAAGGACCGCCUGAUAUCUGAGUAACAAGACGUUUAAGCAAACGCAUCUUUUAAAACGAUCGUAAUGCGCUCUGGCUAGCUACUCUGUUAAUUGCAAAGCGUUUAUAUUCGUUUGUAGGCAUUCUGCUUCGGCGGUGUGUUGAACAGAGAUAAGAAUUGGCACAUAAAUGUCGCAUUCACUAGCGCAGAUAGCGUUCAGCGCCCCACCCCAGCAUGGGUACGUUCUGACACCUAACGGGCGAUUCCUGGAGAGGGCGGAGGGUCGAACUGUGUCCUACAGGUGCCCUGCUGCGGCAUGUAGACACAUCCAGGCGCAUUUUCAUCCGUGAUCAUCAACGAGCAGGCACGUGCUGGCGUGUUAUCCAAGGUAAACAUCCGAGUAAAUCAUUGCGCUCAGUGGCUAAUUGACUCAUAACACCACUGCGGGCAUAUUAUUCAGAAUAAACAUAUAGCUACCUGGCUAGUGUAAACGUGUCAUUGACGUUACCUGGCAACGUAUUUUAUCUAUAUAUACCCUAUGGGAUGUAUAGUAAAUGUGGUAACCUAACGAUUUACAGAUCCUUUAAUGCUCAUAAUAUAAAUAUUAAAUACGUAGAGAAUAAAUGCAUAAAGUUCAACCCAUGUCGCAGUAUUAAUAUUAAUAAUACAAAUUAUUAGUAGGGUCUUGAUUAUCAUUAGGCAGCACAGCACUAACACUCGUUUUAAACAUUUACAGUUUUACACGUAGUCUCUUCUUGCAGCCACUUUCAAUUAUGCAUUGAAAACGUUAUUAUAUCUUUCUCUCUCCCCUGCUGAAAGAAACACGGCUCAAGCUAUGUUUUGAAACAGCUGGUAGAUGGUUGACCAGCUCAGACCCGCUGCCCACUCUGCAAGGAGUCGGAGACUGAGCGCGUCUGAUUAAAAGCUAUGUCUGAUGAGUCAUCCUCGUCCUCACCCGCAUCGCCAGCGCCGCCCUCCUCUCAUUUCAUAGCGAAGAAGGAUGAGAUUAUCCGGGCAGGCCGCGUGACGAAGCUCGUGAACGGCAGGGAGGUGCUGGUCCUCCACCACGACGGCGUGUUCCACGCCUUGGACAUGCGCUGUUACCAUUCUGGUGGCCUUUUACAAUAUGGAGACAUAGAGGAGUUUAACGGCCGGCUGUGCAUCGUCUGCCCCUGGCACAAGUACAAGAUCACGCUGGCUGAAGGGGAGAACCUGUACCAGGCUGUGGACCCCAAGGAGAAGCCGCCCAAACCGAAAUGGCUCUCCAAAGGCGUGAAGCAGAGGGUGCACCGGGCCAUCGAGGUGGAGGAGGACGUCUUCGUCCGCUUGAACGACGCCCCCGGCCGCAUCGAGUCCGACGCCUACCAGACGCAACACCGAGCAGGGAAAUCGCAGGAGAAGACCACGCCGAAGAAGUGAGCGAAAUAGUCACAGGCAAAAUGGCCGUUCAGCCAGCCUCCGAGAUAAACAUUAAAUCUGAGCUCUUAUCUUCGACCGGCGGUCCUCACUCCUGGACCAGGGGUGAGCGCCACUGCCUUAGACUGAAAAAAGUCACCGUGAAAAAUACGGAGUUCAUUUCAGGGAUUGCUUUCUGGCUACCUCGAUUUGGGCAAGCUUGUUAAGCCGAUGAACACUCAAUACACUUGAUCCUGAUUGGCUCAAACCGGCAGCAUGUUGAAAUCCAUGGGCCAGUUUCACAGACACAGAUUAAGGUUAGUCUUGGACUAAAUUGUGUUUUGUAUGGAGAAUCUCCAUUUAAAAUGUAACUUAAGUCUCGGACUAAACUUAACCUGUGUCUCUGAAACAGGCCCGAUGAGUUCGCUGCUUGAGUGGUGAGGCCCAUUAAUAUUACAGCCAUUAAAAUGUUACCAGUUAGCAUUGUUGUUAGCUUAUCAACCACUUCCUCAGUUAUUGAAAGGUCAUUUAAAAAUACAUCAGGAUUCUCUCUCUUGUUCUCAGGGACGUUUCCCCUGUGUAUACAGGAAGAAAUAUAAUUUUGUUGAGACCACCAGAUUGUAUUUUUCAUUUUCUAAUGGUAAAUAUUUCUAUUGGCUUUGUAUUUAUAUUUUGAAUAUGCCAUUGUUCAUCUUUAUUUUUUCCAUUUUGAAAGUAAAAAAACUGCAAAAAUCAGAA
Conger conger (European conger) is the source of this 2160-nucleotide RNA transcript. It is a transcript of the gene named Rieske domain-containing protein-like, with no coding region annotated. The record is from RefSeq and is a predicted model, not a curated record. Lineage: Eukaryota; Metazoa; Chordata; Actinopteri; Anguilliformes; Congridae. The transcript is spliced from 5 exons.